This is a non-coding RNA of Sporormia fimetaria CBS 119925, 87 nucleotides long. The record is from the annotation of a GenBank genome assembly. NCBI's taxonomy places the organism in Eukaryota, Fungi, Ascomycota, Dothideomycetes, Pleosporales, Sporormiaceae.
GGUCGAUUAGCUCAGUUGGUUAGAGCGUGGUGCUAAUAGGAUUAUCCUGUAACGCCAAGGCCAUGGGUUCGAACCCCAUAUUGACCU